RNAcentral lists this long non-coding RNA (280 nucleotides) under Eucalyptus grandis. RNAcentral's name for it is "long non-coding RNA (EGRA_LNC002772)". The record is from RNAcentral. Lineage: Eukaryota; Viridiplantae; Streptophyta; Magnoliopsida; Myrtales; Myrtaceae.
AGAACUUUGCCCUAGAUUGCCUUUCCAUUUUCACUGGUUCUUCUGUAUUGCGUGAGAUGCGGUACUAGCUAGCUAGCUACCUUUUAUCACAGAGCUUCUUGCAAAGUGAGGCAGCCAACGGUUACAUCGAGAGCUUCUUGAGUGUGACCCUUAGCUCGAUCUGCAGUUGAGACCCGGUUAUGGCUGUUUCUUAUCAUUAAUGAAGAGUGACAGGCAUAUGAUAUGACUACGUCGAAGGAAUACAUAUCAUCCAUGGAAAAAUAUUGAUUAAGAUUUUGAC